Molecule: ribosomal RNA, 1338 nt
Filed under: Triodia sylvina
Lineage: Eukaryota; Metazoa; Arthropoda; Insecta; Lepidoptera; Hepialidae
Description: 16S ribosomal RNA
Rfam family: Eukaryotic large subunit ribosomal RNA (bases 1088-1246)
Source: RNAcentral
UUUGAAAAAUAAAAAAUUAAUUAAUUUUUAAAUAAUAAAAAUAAUUUUAAUAAUUUAAGUUUUAUUAUUAUAUAAGAAAAAAUUUUAUAAUUUAUAGUUAAUUAGUAUUGUGAAAGAAUUUUUGAAAUAAGUUAAAUAUAAAAUUUAUUAAAAGUAAAUUUUAUUUAUUGUAUCUUGUGUAUCAGAGUUUAUUAAUUAAAUAUUUUAUAAUAAAAUAUUCUCGAAUUUAAAAGAGUUAAUUAAUUAUUUUAAUUAAUGUGGUAUAAUUAUUAAUAAUAAUUAUUUUGAAAUGAAAUGUUAAACGUUUUUAAAUAUAUCUAGUUUUUUAAGAAAUAAAUUUAAUUUAUGUAAUAAAUAAUUAAUAUAUAUAUUAUUUUAUAUUUUAUAAUUUAUUACAAAUAUUUUAAGGGAUAAGUUUUAAAAUAAAUUAUUAAAUACGUGUGCUCUUCCGAUCUAAAUUAAAUUUAGUAUAAUUAAUAUUAUUAAUUUUUUUUUAAUUUGUUAAAAAUAAAUUUAAAUUGAAUAUAAUUUUAAAUAAGGAUAUUAAUUAAAUAUUAAAAUAUUUAUUAUAAUAAUAAAAAUAAAGUAAUAAUGAUAAAAUUAGUAUAAUUUAUUUAUUUAUUAAAUUAAUAAAUAUUUAAAAAUUAAUUUAAGUAAUUCGGCAAAAUUUAAUAUUCACCUGUUUAUCAAAAACAUGUCCUUUUGAAAAUAAUUUAAGGUCUAAUCUGCCCACUGAAUAAUAAUAUUUAAAGGGCCGCAGUAAUUUGACUGUGCAAAGGUAGCAUAAUAAAUAGUCUUUUAAUUGAAGACUGGAAUGAAUGAUUGAAUGAAAUAUUAACUGUCUCAAAUUAAUAAUUUAAAAUUUAAUUUUUUAGUUAAAAAGCUAAAAUAAUUUUAAAAGACGAGAAGACCCUAUAGAGUUUUAUAUUUUUUUUUUAUUUUUUAUUAUAUAAAAUAUAUUUUUUAAAUAAAAAUUAAAUAUUUUAUUGGGGUGAUAAAAAAAUUAAAAAAACUUUUUUUUAAAAAAAACAUUUAUUUAUGAAUAAUUGAUCCAAUAUUAUUGAAUAUAAGAGUAAAUUACCUUAGGGAUAACAGCGUUAUUUUUUUUUUUAGUUCUUAUAAAAAAAAAAGUUUGCGACCUCGAUGUUGGAUUAAGAUAAAAUUUAAAUGCAAAAGUUUAAAGUUUUAGUCUGUUCGACUAUUAAAAUCUUACAUGAUCUGAGUUCAAACCGGUGUAAGCCAGGUUGGUUUCUAUCUUUAAAAUAAUAAAAUAUUUUAGUACGAAAGGAAUUAAUAUUUAAAAUAAUUUUAAAAUUUUUGAAUUUAAUUAAAGUAUUU